GUCCAUUGUCAGUGUCUAAGCUUUGGGUUCGCAGGACACUCUCUUGAAAAAAAGUGGAGAGACAUUUGGGCUGAAGAUGAGCUGAUUCCGCAUCCACUCAGGGUCAUCUCAAAGUCCCCAGUAACAAAACGCUUAGGAGGUAGAAAAUGGAAGUUGCACGGAAGACAAAAGGGCCCUAAAGAAUAAAAAUAGCAAGAUCUAGGACUACGGAACUCGUCCAGAAAUUGCCAAUUGACUCAUGAAGUGCUGAUAUGCAUAAUUCUUCAUUUUCCACAAUGGUAGAAAAUUUAAUACAAACUUCCCCUGAACAAUGCCUUGGAAGAUGCACGUGCCUGGAUAGAUAUCAGUCGCACAGUCACCAAAAAUAUCCCAUCCAAAUGACAGUUAGAUAAGAGGAGAUAUUGCAGAUUCAAAACAAUAGUACCUAACAGUUAGGACAAACCUGAAUUGUCAACAUUUCUUCUACGACAAGCAGGCUGAAGAAUGUUGUCUGAAGGUUAGAAUAGUAAAGUCCACAGCUCAACUUUAGUGCAUAAAUUAUCAUAUUGUGAAAGACGAUCAGAGAAUACCACUGACCUCAGUAUGCCAAUAUGAACUCAUACUAGGUUAUGCAGAUCCAGUUGGAAUGUCUUCCCUGGGAGACAGAGCAACUGUGCCUUGUAAGCUGAGCAAAUAAAUUUCAUGCUUGAACCAUCGGCAUCUGGAAGGGAAUCUCCAAAUGCUUUUAU
Molecule: long non-coding RNA, 728 nt
Organism: Capsicum annuum
Lineage: Eukaryota; Viridiplantae; Streptophyta; Magnoliopsida; Solanales; Solanaceae
Exons: 2
Source: RefSeq, a predicted model, not a curated record